GGUUGUGGCUCAGGGGUAAAGCAAUCACUUAGCAUGUACAAGGCCCUGGGUUCGAUCCUCAGCACCA
This 67-nucleotide transfer RNA is filed under the name Marmota monax (woodchuck). RNAcentral describes it as "tRNA.Ala". Lineage: Eukaryota; Metazoa; Chordata; Mammalia; Rodentia; Sciuridae. The record is from RNAcentral.